Molecule: ribosomal RNA, 466 nt
Filed under: uncultured bacterium
Lineage: Bacteria
Description: bacterial SSU rRNA
Rfam family: Bacterial small subunit ribosomal RNA
Source: RNAcentral
UAGGGAGUAUUGGACAAUGGGUGAGAGCCUGAUCCAGCCAUGCCGCGUGCAGGAAGAAGGCGUUAUGCGUUGUAAACUGCUUUUGCCAGGGGAUAAAAAGACCGUGCGCGGUUAAUUGAAGGUACCUGGUGAAUAAGCCACGGCUAACUACGUGCCAGCAGCCGCGGUAAUACGUAGGUGGCAAGCGUUGUCCGGAUUUAUUGGGUUUAAAGGGUGCGUAGGUGGCCUUGUAAGUCAGUGGUGAAAUAUCUCAGCUUAACUGAGAGGGUGCCAUUGAUACUGCAGGGCUUGAGUACAGAUGAGGUAGGCGGAAUUGACGGUGUAGCGGUGAAAUGCAUAGAUAUCGUCAAGAACACCGAUAGCGAGGGCAGCUUACCAAGCUGUAACUGACACUGAGGCACGAAAGUGUGGGGAUCAAACAGGAUUAGAUACCCCGGUAGUCCCUGAGCGGGCUGGCAAGGCGCAU